GCCGGUCCACAGACCUGUCGGGAGGGCCAAGCCCAGAUGCCCUUUUCUGGGUAAUUCCAGCGUCCGAUGACUUCUGGGCGACGGCCGCAGCCACUUGUUUUGGAUCUUUCUGGCACCUUCUCUAUUAUUACGCCUGCGUCACCUCGCUCCUCCUCUUUCGCCCAACUCGCGCAGGUGCGACCGCCACGCCCCUACGGCGCAAGCGCAGAAUGAGACCUCAAGCUCCACCCCUUCCAGGACUCCAGAUCCGCCCCUAACCCAAGCGUCCGGACUCUCCCGUGCUGCGCUUGCGCAAGAGGAAAACCUCGCUGUGUCUUGCUCUUGAUGGUGGUUUCAGGCUCGGUGUGUGUCCCCUGAAUCCUAUGACACAACCUGGUGGAAUUAUUCAUCCCACAGACUACCUCUUCCUCCUGAUCACGACCUAGACACCCACAUGACCAGUGCCAACAGCUGGCAGCGCAAAGUAAACCAGUCACGAGGGUCCCGACUCCCUGGAGCGCUCAAGGCUCAUAAUCAGGACUUGUAAUACAGUAUGCCCCAUUCUUAGGUGGCAACCAGAAACCUACAACUCAACUCUGCUUUCUCAGAUCCUACAUGGAAAUUCUUCCUCAUACAGCUCCCCAGCCCCAAUUUAUAAAUUCUCCGGUCGCAAGCAGAAGAAUGAUACCUCUUCCCAAAUCUCAAUAGACCUUGCCACCCCUGUGUGCAGCACAUUCCGAAGGCGUCCAUCAGCACCUCCUAUCAUAGACACCCACACCCACGGUUAGAACAGCCUUUGUACAAUCGCUUCUGAGCCCUCUUGAGUCUUGGAGCCACCCAGAUGCCCCUCCUAACCUGCACCUAUGAGAGCAAUCCUGUCACAGAAGUGGAGGCUAGGGUGUCUUCACGUCCCCUACACGAGGCCUUGAGCGUGACGGUCGCUCCUCCUCCCCACUUAGGUGACUCAGGGUCAGGACCAGCACGUGCCUAAGACAGGUCUCUUCUAGGACUGGUUUCCACCCCCGGAAUUGUCUCCCUAAGGGGCGGGAGGUUCUGGCUCAAUGCUGGCUGUUUGUUUCCCUUUUCUGGGCCUUAGCUUUUCCACCUGUGAAACGGAUGGCAGUGGAGUCCACCGUAUGGGCUCUGUGUGUGAAUAUCAUUGAAUCAGACGAAAAAUGGGAGGAAGGGGAAAGCUAUUUAUAAACGGUAAAGCUUC
This 1195-nucleotide long non-coding RNA is filed under the name Mus caroli (Ryukyu mouse). RNAcentral's name for it is "RIKEN cDNA 4933430L12 gene (MGP_CAROLIEiJ_G0003990.1)". Lineage: Eukaryota; Metazoa; Chordata; Mammalia; Rodentia; Muridae. The record is from RNAcentral.